CCUACGGGGGGCUGCAGUGGGGAAUAUUGCACAAUGGGGGAAACCCUGAUGCAGCGACGCCGCGUGAGUGAAUAAGUAUCUCGGUAUGUAAAGCUCUAUCAGCAGGGAAGAAAAUGACGGUACCUGAUCAAGAAGCUCCGGCUAACUACGUGCCAGCAGCCGCGGGAAGACGUAGGGGGCAAGCGUUAUCCGGAUUUACUGGGUGUAAAGGGAGCGUAGACGGGAGCGCAAGUCAGAAGUGAAAUGCCGGGGCUUAACCCCGGAACUGCUUUGGAAACUGUGCAGCUAGAGUGCAGGAGAGGUAGGUGGAAUUCCUGGUGUAGCGGUGAAAUGCGUAGAUAUUAGGAAGAACACCGAUGGCGAAGGCGGCUUACUGGACUGUAACUGACGUUGAGGCUCGAAAGCGUGGGGAGCAAACAGGAUUAGAUACCCCUGUAGUC
RNAcentral lists this ribosomal RNA (440 nucleotides) under uncultured bacterium. RNAcentral's name for it is "partial 16S ribosomal RNA". It matches the Rfam family "Bacterial small subunit ribosomal RNA", at positions 338 to 795 of the family's 1533-position model. The record is from RNAcentral.